This 253-nucleotide ribosomal RNA is filed under the name uncultured bacterium. RNAcentral describes it as "partial 16S ribosomal RNA". It matches the Rfam family "Bacterial small subunit ribosomal RNA", at positions 524 to 776 of the family's 1533-position model. The record is from RNAcentral.
UACGUAGGGUGCAAGCGUUGCCCGGAUUUAUUGGGCGUAAAGGGCGCGCAGGCGGCUACGCACGUCCGUUGUGAAAUCGCUCGGCUCAACUGGGCGGGGUCGGCGGAUACGGCGUAGCUGGAGCAAGCUAGGGGGCAAUGGAAUUCCCGGUGUAGUGGUGGAAUGCGUAAAUAUCGGGAGGAACACCAGUGGCGAAGGCGGUUGCCUGGAGCUUUGCUGACGCUGAGGCGCGAAAGCGUGGGGAGCGAACAGG